CCAGAGCNNCCCCCGCCCCUCGCGCCGGACGAGCGGCGGUAUUUGGUUUUUAAAAGAAAAUUACAACUCCCCACCCAAUGUGAGCGUUACCUAACUGUUGCCUCGGCGGGAUCUCUGCCCCGGGUGCGUCGCAGCCCCGGACCAAGGCGCCCGCCGGAGGACCAACCAAAACUCUUAUUGUAUACCCCCUCGCGGGUUUUUUUAUAAUCUGAGCCUUCUCGGCGCCUCUCGUAGGCGUUUCGAAAAUGAAUCAAAACUUUCAACAACGGAUCUCUUGGUUCUGGCAUCGAUGAAGAACGCAGCGAAAUGCGAUAAGUAAUGUGAAUUGCAGAAUUCAGUGAAUCAUCGAAUCUUUGAACGCACAUUGCGCCCGCCAGUAUUCUGGCGGGCAUGCCUGUCCGAGCGUCAUUUCAACCCUCGAACCCCUCCGGGGGGUCGGCGUUGGGGAUCGGCCCUGCCUUGGCGGUGGCCGUCUCCGAAAUACAGUGGCGGUCUCGCCGCAGCCUCUCCUGCGCAGUAGUUUGCACACUCGCAUCGGGAGCGCGGCGCGUCCACAGCCGUUAAACACCCAACUUCUGAAAUGUUGACCUCGGAUCAGGUAGGAAUACCCGCUGAACUUAAGCAUAUCAAUAAGCGGAGGAAAAGAAACCAACAGGGAUUGCCCUAGUAACGGCCGUCUUUUGAAUUUUAGAGGAACAAA
This 700-nucleotide small RNA is filed under the name Trichoderma harzianum. RNAcentral's name for it is "eukaryotic LSU rRNA". The stretch from base 255 to 408 matches the Rfam family "5.8S ribosomal RNA". The record is from RNAcentral. Lineage: Eukaryota; Fungi; Ascomycota; Sordariomycetes; Hypocreales; Hypocreaceae.